RNAcentral lists this transfer RNA (73 nucleotides) under Kitasatospora griseola. RNAcentral's name for it is "tRNA-Ala". It matches the Rfam family "tRNA". Rfam says of the family: Transfer RNA (tRNA) molecules are approximately 80 nucleotides in length. Their secondary structure includes four short double-helical elements and three loops (D, anti-codon, and T loops). Further hydrogen bonds mediate the characteristic L-shaped molecular structure. tRNAs have two regions of fundamental functional importance: the anti-codon, which is responsible for specific mRNA codon recognition, and the 3' end, to which the tRNAs corresponding amino acid is attached (by aminoacyl-tRNA synthetases). tRNAs cope with the degeneracy of the genetic code in two manners: having more than one tRNA (with a specific anti-codon) for a particular amino acid; and 'wobble' base-pairing, i.e. permitting non-standard base-pairing at the 3rd anti-codon position. The record is from RNAcentral. Lineage: Bacteria; Bacillati; Actinomycetota; Actinomycetes; Kitasatosporales; Streptomycetaceae.
CCGGGCGUAGCGCAGAGGCAGACGCGCCGCGACGGCAUCGCGGAUCACGCCGGUUCGAAUCCGGCCCCCGGGA